GACGAACGCUGGCGGCGUGCCUAGUACAUGCAAGUAGAACGCUGAAGGAGGAGCUUGCUCUUCUGGAUGAGUUGCGAACGGGUGAGUAACGCGUAGGUAACCUGCCUGGUAGCGGGGGAUAACUAUUGGAAACGAUAGCUAAUACCGCAUAAGAGUAGAUGUUGCAUGACAUUUGCUUAAAAGGUGCAAUUGCAUCACUACCAGAUGGACCUGCGUUGUAUUAGCUAGUUGGUGGGGUAACGGCUCACCAAGGCGACGAUACAUAGCCGACCUGAGAGGGUGAUCGGCCACACUGGGACUGAGACACGGCCCAGACUCCUACGGGAGGCAGCAGUAGGGAAUCUUCGGCAAUGGACGGAAGUCUGACCGAGCAACGCCGCGUGAGUGAAGAAGGUUUUCGGAUCGUAAAGCUCUGUUGUAAGAGAUGAACGAGUGUGAGAGUGGAAAGUUCACACUGUGACGGUAUCUUACCAGAAAGGGACGGCUAACUACGUG
RNAcentral lists this ribosomal RNA (495 nucleotides) under uncultured bacterium. RNAcentral's name for it is "partial 16S ribosomal RNA". It matches the Rfam family "Bacterial small subunit ribosomal RNA", at positions 28 to 507 of the family's 1533-position model. The record is from RNAcentral.